GGGAGUAUAGCUCAGUUGGUAGAGCAUUGUUUUUGCAAAGCAGAUGUCAGGGGUCCAAUUCCCCUUACUUCCA
Molecule: transfer RNA, 73 nt
Filed under: Euglena longa
Lineage: Eukaryota; Euglenozoa; Euglenophyceae; Euglenales; Euglenaceae
Description: transfer RNA-Ala (UGC)
Rfam family: tRNA
About the family: Transfer RNA (tRNA) molecules are approximately 80 nucleotides in length.
Source: RNAcentral